GGGCCAGUGGCAGAGUGGUCUAUUGCAGCGGUUUGUAGCACCGCAGGUAUAAUACCUUCAUAGGUUCAAAUCCUAUCUGGCUCA
Molecule: transfer RNA, 84 nt
Filed under: Spumella sp. Baekdong012001B8
Lineage: Eukaryota; Chrysophyceae; Chromulinales; Chromulinaceae
Description: tRNA-Tyr
Rfam family: tRNA
About the family: Transfer RNA (tRNA) molecules are approximately 80 nucleotides in length. Their secondary structure includes four short double-helical elements and three loops (D, anti-codon, and T loops).
Source: RNAcentral